This is a long non-coding RNA of Oreochromis niloticus (Nile tilapia), 168 nucleotides long. RefSeq lists it as uncharacterized. The transcript is spliced from 2 exons. The record is from RefSeq and is a predicted model, not a curated record. Lineage: Eukaryota; Metazoa; Chordata; Actinopteri; Cichliformes; Cichlidae.
GUGCGAUUGGCAGCAGGGCAGAGGUUUACCUCUGCCUGCAUUUGACACCGACGCAAGGGGAGCUGUGGCGGUGGUCGCAUGAUGGAUUCGGGUGCAGAACGCAAGCUGGGCUGGGAUGUGAUGGGCCAGUGGAAGGACAAGAAGAUGGGAGGCUCUUCCUUGUCUGCC